Molecule: ribosomal RNA, 380 nt
Filed under: uncultured organism
Description: partial 16S ribosomal RNA
Rfam family: Bacterial small subunit ribosomal RNA
Source: RNAcentral
GGAGGGAGCAAGCGUUGUUCGGAAUCACCGGGGGGCGUAAAGGGGCGCGUAGGGCGGGUCGGGGUAAGUCGGGGUGUGAAAUUCCGGGGCUCAACCCCGCGAACUGCAUCCGAUACUGCUCGACUUGAGAAAGGUAGGGGCGAGUAGAAUUCCCGGUGUAGCGGUGGAAUGCGUAGAUAUCGGGAAGAACACCGGUGGCGAAGGCGGCUCGCUGGGCCUUAUCUGACGCUGAAGCGCGAAAGCGUGGGGAGCAAACAGGAUUAGAUACCCUGGUAGUCCACGCCGUAAACGAUGGGUACUAGGUGUUGGGAGGAUUGACCCUUUCAGUGCCGACGCUAACGCAUUAAGUACCCCGCCUGGGGAGUACGGCCGCAAGGCCG